This 148-nucleotide small nuclear RNA is filed under the name Saimiri boliviensis boliviensis (Bolivian squirrel monkey). Its description in RNAcentral is "U1 spliceosomal RNA (ENSSBOG00000006051.1)". It matches the Rfam family "U1 spliceosomal RNA". Rfam says of the family: U1 is a small nuclear RNA (snRNA) component of the spliceosome (involved in pre-mRNA splicing). The record is from Rfam by way of RNAcentral. Lineage: Eukaryota; Metazoa; Chordata; Mammalia; Primates; Cebidae.
AUACUUACCUGGCAGGGGAGAUACCACGAUCGUGAAUGUGAUUUUCCCAGGGCGAGGCUUAUCCAUUGCACUCCGUAAUUUCCCCAAAUCUGGGAAACCCGACUGUGUAAUUUGUGGUAGUGGAGGACUGCAUUCGCGCUUUCUCCUG